UUUCCGUAGGUGAACCUGCGGAAGGAUCAUUACCGAGUUCAUGCCCUUCGGGGUAGAUCUCCCACCCUUUGUAUACUAUACCUUUGUUGCUUUGGCGGGCCGCCUAGCUACUGGCUUCGGCUGGUAAGUGCCCGCCAGAGAACCCAAAACCCUGAAUUAUUAGUGUCGUCUGAGUAAAAUAUCUAAUAUUUAAAACUUUCAACAACGGAUCUCUUGGCUCUG
Molecule: unclassified non-coding RNA, 222 nt
Filed under: plant metagenome
Description: partial contains small subunit ribosomal RNA, internal transcribed spacer 1, and 5.8S ribosomal RNA
Source: RNAcentral